Molecule: long non-coding RNA, 1403 nt
Filed under: Ricinus communis (castor bean)
Lineage: Eukaryota; Viridiplantae; Streptophyta; Magnoliopsida; Malpighiales; Euphorbiaceae
Description: long non-coding RNA (RCOM_LNC002053)
Source: RNAcentral
AACUAUGUUUACCUGUCGUACUCACAAGCCUCUUCAUGUUCGCAAGCUCUGCGUAAAAAAGAAAAAAAGAAACGCAACAGAACCUUUGCUCCAUCGAAUAAAAGGAAAAAGAAAAUGAAUUAGGGCAGUCCUUGUUUGGUUCCAUAAUCACAGGUUUACUUCAUAUAUUUGAUAUGCAUGCAUUGGUAUUUCAUCAUAACAAAGAUCGAUCCUUAUUUGGGUUGUUGCAAUUACAUUCAUAUCUUUCUUCUUGAUUGAAGUGUACACAUCUCUCUUCAAAGCCAGGUGAGUUUUUCUGCCCAAUCACAAGGGCUUCAUGUUUGUUCUCUAUAUCUACGCUCUCUCUCUCUGUUUAUAGUGUGGCUUGCAUCAAGAGUAAUAUAUGUUCAAUCGAUCCAAAGGAGUUUUGAUGCCCAUAAAAAUCUUUCUGAUUAUUCUCAAUCUGUUUUUCUUUUCUUGUUGAUGGGAUAGUUUUCAUUUAAGUUCAGAUUAAGUUUGAAAUAAUCACGAAAUAAUUAGCUUCUCUUGGAUCAUUUAGCAUAAUUAAGUGCAGAAAUCGUUCAGCCAUGCGUAUUGGGUUCCACAUUUAUAAAAGCUGCUGUCGAUAAGUACCGCCAGUUCUGGUUAAUCAUGUUUUCUUGUAUAUUAUGAUUAUAGCUUUUCAUCGUAACAAUAUGCAGUUAAUUCUGAUUUUACACUGUAUAACCAAAGUUGUAUAAUGAUCAAUAGAAUGAAAUGCAGUAAAUCUUGUCUUCAUUUCAAUUCUACAUAUAUAUAUAUAUAGUAUCAUCAAAGCUUCGUAAACAUCAUCCCUCGCUCUUCAAACUCUCUCUGUUAAAUUAAGUACUCCUAAAAACGGAUACUUAUCAACAAUAGCUUAUAAUGUGGAACCGGAAUUCGUGGCUUGAUUAACAGAAAUAAUUUGACAUCUCCAAUUUGGUUUUCUGAGACAAAAACGUUUUUGCUAUAAUUCUUGGUUUAUAUUUAGUUUGAUAUUGUUUAUUAGAUGGAAUUAGUUUUGAAUAAUUACACGUGAUAUCGACAUUAGAUACUCGAUAAUUAAUUGUAUUAACUAUAAAAUUCAAGUAUAAAAUAUUUGAGUUAUGUGUCGCUUAUAUAUUAUUUUAAAUCUUUAUUAAAUUUUUUUAUACCGAGUUAUUUUUUUUUCUCUCAUUUUUCUAUUUUUUCGUAAUAGAUUUUUGCCAUGUGAUACUAAUAACAUUUGUGUAUGUUUAUGCUUUGCAGCUGGAACUACCAAGAGAAUGAUCCAUAUAUAAUAUAGAAUAAUAUUUAUAUUUACUUGGUAUAUAUACUACAACAAAUAAAAAGAAUAUUUUACAUUCUAAUACUUUGAUGUAUAUUUUUUUAUUUAAAACUAAUAAAUAUGUGUUACUAAUUUNNNN